AGUUCCAUAGGCUGCUCUAAUACAUAUAUCCAGACAGUGAGAUCGGUUCGACAACUCAGUCUCUUCGAACUAUUUCAAUCGCAACCACGCACCCCGAUAAACAUCGAAAUGAAAUUAUUCGUUUACGUCAUUUUCUUCUUAAUGGCAUUCUUGCAGUUCAUAACGGCAUCGCCAACAGCCGAAGCAGAGCCCACCAUUCGUAGAGUGAUUCGUAAUCGAAUUAUUCGCAAUCAAAUUGGAAAAUGAGAUGAGACAUCAUUCAUCGUUUGCCAGCAGGUUGUUUUGUUGAUUAAUAAAUGAGUUUUUGUUUUUGAA
This is a long non-coding RNA of Bradysia coprophila, 315 nucleotides long. Lineage: Eukaryota; Metazoa; Arthropoda; Insecta; Diptera; Sciaridae. The record is from RefSeq and is a predicted model, not a curated record.